RNAcentral lists this transfer RNA (85 nucleotides) under Felis catus (domestic cat). It matches the Rfam family "tRNA". Rfam says of the family: Transfer RNA (tRNA) molecules are approximately 80 nucleotides in length. Lineage: Eukaryota; Metazoa; Chordata; Mammalia; Carnivora; Felidae. The record is from Rfam by way of RNAcentral.
GCCUGGGUGGCUCAGUCAGUCGAGCAUCCGACUUCAGCUCAGGUCAUGAUCUCGUGGUUUGUGGGUUCGAGUCCCACAUCGGGCU